AUGGACAGCAUUUGCCCCACGUUCGGCGGGAGCCGGCCCGGGGUGUCGACGGAGCUGGUCCAUUCGGUCAGCGAGGAGGCCAGCGUCGCCUGCGGCUACUCCCGCACCGCCUCCCCCUCCGCCUACGCUUCCGUGUCGCUUGGGAGAUCGAAGCUGAAUGGCGGCGCGACGAGCUCGGGGCUGGUGUUGAGAGUGGACGCACCGCUGCACGGUUUUGGGUAA
This 222-nucleotide ribosomal RNA is filed under the name Triticum aestivum (bread wheat). RNAcentral's name for it is "partial small subunit ribosomal RNA". The record is from RNAcentral. Lineage: Eukaryota; Viridiplantae; Streptophyta; Magnoliopsida; Poales; Poaceae.